Molecule: ribosomal RNA, 301 nt
Filed under: uncultured bacterium
Lineage: Bacteria
Description: partial 16S ribosomal RNA
Rfam family: Bacterial small subunit ribosomal RNA
Source: RNAcentral
CAGUCGCCGCGGGAAUACGGAGGGGGCUAGCGUUGCUUGGAAUGACUGGGCGUAAAGGGCGUGUAGGCGGCGGCCAAAGUCAGGCGUGAAAUUCCCGGGCUCAACCUGGGGGCUGCGUUUGAUACUUGGUUGCUUGAGUGGGGAAGAGGGUCGUGGAAUUCCCAGUGUAGAGGUGAAAUUCGUAGAUAUUGGGAAGAACACCGGUGGCGAAGGCGGCGACCUGGUCCUUUACUGACGCUGAGGCGCGAAAGCGUGGGGAGCAAACAGGAUUAGAUACCCCAGUAGUCCCUGUCUCUUAUAC